Molecule: ribosomal RNA, 947 nt
Filed under: Ascidiella scabra
Lineage: Eukaryota; Metazoa; Chordata; Ascidiacea; Phlebobranchia; Ascidiidae
Description: SSU rRNA
Rfam family: Eukaryotic small subunit ribosomal RNA
Source: RNAcentral
GGGCGCAGGCGGCCGGUCCGUCGCAAGGCGUGUACUGGCCGUCCUGGCCCUCACCUCCGGUUUCUCCGCCGGUGCCCUUGACUGAGUGUCGGCGGCGGCCGGAACGUUUACUUUGAAAAAAUUAGAGUGUUCAAAGCAGGCGAUUCGCCUGAAUAAUGGUGCAUGGAAUAAUGGAAUAGGACCUCGGUUCUAUUUUGUUGGUUUUCGGAGCGCGAGGUAAUGAUUAAGAGGGACAGACGGGGGCAUUCGUACUGUGCCGUUAGAGGUGAAAUUCUUGGAUCGGCGCAAGACGAACGACUGCGAAAGCAUUUGCCAAGAAUGUUUUCUUUAAUCAAGAGCGAAAGUCAGAGGUUCGAAGACGAUCAGAUACCGUCCUAGUUCUGACUAUAAACGAUGCCAACUAGCGAUCGGGGGGCGUUAGUUUUACGACCUCUCCGGCAGCUUGCGGGAAACCAAAGUCUUUGGGUUCCGGGGGAAGUAUGGUUGCAAAGCUGAAACUUAAAGGAAUUGACGGAAGGGCACCACCAGGAGUGGAGCCUGCGGCUUAAUUUGACUCAACACGGGAAAUCUCACCCGGCCCGGACACAGUGAGGAUUGACAGAUUGAGAGCUCUUUCUUGAUUCUGUGGGUGGUGGUGCAUGGCCGUUCUUAGUUGGUGGAGCGAUUUGUCUGGUUAAUUCCGAUAACGAACGAGACUCUGGCUUGCUAACUAGUUACGCGACCCAAUCGGUCGGCGUCUAACUUCUUAGAGGGACUAGUGGCGUUUAGCCACACGAGAUUGAGCAAUAACAGGUCUGUGAUGCCCUUAGAUGUUCGGGGCCGCACGCGCGCUACACUGACCGGAUCAGCAUGUGCUCGCCUUGGCCGACAGGUCUGGGUAACCCGCUGAACCCCGGUCGUGCUAGGGAUAGGGAAUUGCAAUUAUUUCCCUUGAACGAGGAAUUCCC